GUCUAUGGCCAUACCAACCUGAAUGUGUGCAAUCUCACCUGAUCUUGGAAGCUAAGUAGGGGUGGGCCUAGUUAGUACUUGAAUGGGAGACCCCUGGGAAUAUGGGUGCUGUAGGCU
This is a ribosomal RNA of Callithrix jacchus (white-tufted-ear marmoset), 117 nucleotides long. Lineage: Eukaryota; Metazoa; Chordata; Mammalia; Primates; Cebidae. The record is from Ensembl.